This 237-nucleotide long non-coding RNA is filed under the name Lathyrus oleraceus (garden pea). Its description in RNAcentral is "Pisum sativum (pea) long non-coding RNA (PSAT_LNC035184)". The record is from RNAcentral. Lineage: Eukaryota; Viridiplantae; Streptophyta; Magnoliopsida; Fabales; Fabaceae.
AACUCCAUGCUCCUUGUAAAGAGGCUUGGUAAUUUAUUUUGGUAAUACUGAUAAAUCCUUGAACUAUGCAAAAAGAAAUAUUUUUUUUUGGAAAAAGAUGCUUUUACUUCAACACAAAAUGUUACUAGCUAUGAAUGUGGAAAGUAAGGACACAUAAAGACGGUCUCAUCACAAAAGAAACAAAUUUUAUUUCUUAAAGAAAAGAUUGACACUGUUGAAAAAUAUUUUGAAGUUGAA